This 82-nucleotide transfer RNA is filed under the name Candidatus Zambryskiibacteriota bacterium. RNAcentral describes it as "Candidatus Zambryskibacteria bacterium tRNA-Leu". The record is from RNAcentral. Lineage: Bacteria; Candidatus Zambryskiibacteriota.
GCGCGGGUGAUGUAACUGGUAGCCAUCUACGAUUGAGGUUCGUAGGCCGUAAGGCGUGGGAGUUCAAGUCUCCCCCCGCGCA